UCCCUGGUGUCUCAGAUGGUAGAGAAUCUGCCUGCAAUGCAGGAGACCCUGGUUUGAUCCCUAGGUUGGGAA
RNAcentral lists this transfer RNA (72 nucleotides) under Bos taurus (domestic cattle). It matches the Rfam family "tRNA". Rfam says of the family: Transfer RNA (tRNA) molecules are approximately 80 nucleotides in length. Their secondary structure includes four short double-helical elements and three loops (D, anti-codon, and T loops). RNAcentral also lists the same sequence under 1 other name. The record is from Rfam by way of RNAcentral. Lineage: Eukaryota; Metazoa; Chordata; Mammalia; Artiodactyla; Bovidae.